UGCCAGGCUGGGUCAUUCUAAUGUACUCUUGAAAGGAUAAUACAUAUUCAUUCUCCUCAUUUAGCACCGGAAUGACAAAAAACAGGUGAAAAUAUCGGCACCAAGGCACCAAGCAAGAUGGUUGCCAUUAUAAACAAAGCAUAUAAGGGAGUGACAAAGCUGAAAAAUGAUCAUUUUACAGAUGAAGAAACUGAGGCAAACAGGGUUAAGUGACUUGCCCAGGAUUCUACAGCUAAAGUCCGAGAACAGAUUUGAACUCAGGAAGAUGAGUUUUCCUGACUGGACCUGGCAUUCUACCUGUUGCACCAUUUAGCUGCUCUUGAGGUGUUUACAUUUGUUCAAAAAGACUAAUAGAAAACUUAUUUUCUUUCUAUCUGUUAAACUAUGAAUAUGAGUCAUAUGAAAUACUAAUAAUAUUGCUAUAUAAAUUGCUUUGCUGUAGUUUUUAAAUUGAAAGUACUGAGGAAGGAGUAUUAUUUAUUCUGUUUUUAUGUUUUAUUUUUUCAGUUACACAUAGAAACAAUUUUUGACAAUUUUUUGACAAUUUAAAAUUCAUAUUUUCUACCCCUCUACACUCUCUACCCUCCAAGGCAGUGAAUAGCCUGAUAUAGGUUAUACCCAUACUUCCAUUGAAUACAUAUCUCCAUAUUGCUUAUGUCAUUAUAGAAGACAUACAACAUACAAUAACAAAUCUCCUAAAGAAUAUAUAGUGGAAGAUGGUAUGUUUGGAUCUGUACUUAGAUUCCAACUUCUUUGGCUUUGGAGAGUAUUUUCUCCAUUAGUCCCUUGUGGUUAUUUUGGAGAUUUGCUUUGCUGAUAAUGAUUUAGUCCUUCACAAAAAAUCAUUGUAUAAUAUUUCUGUGACUGUAUAUGCUAUUCUCCUUGUUCUGCUCACACUUGUGCUGAAUCAGUUCAUAUGUCUUUUCAGGUUUUUCUGAAUGCAUUCUAUUCACUGUUCCUAAUGGUGCAAUAGUAAACACAUCAGGCAGUAUCAUUCUUAAUUAUCAUUUGAAAACAAAAUAUAUCAACAAGAAAAAAAAUCUUGAAUUUGAAAUGUAUUUCCUAUAAGCCCUUUGAAGAAAUCCAAAAUAUCCCAGCUCUUGACACUUUCUUCAGCAUGCUCAAAUUCUCACCAAGCCUCUGUUACUUCACUGUUUGUUUACUGAGAUCAAAGUCAUGGGAAUUAUAUUAAUUUAGAACUGGAAGCAAGAAAUGGAAUGAGGAAGGGAAUAUGAAUUUAUUAAGCACAUACUGUGUUUCAGACAAUAUCAUUAAGUGUUCUAGAGUUAUUAUUUCAUUUGCUUCUUACAACA
RNAcentral lists this long non-coding RNA (1313 nucleotides) under Monodelphis domestica (gray short-tailed opossum). Its description in RNAcentral is "lncRNA (ENSMODG00000051454.1)". Lineage: Eukaryota; Metazoa; Chordata; Mammalia; Didelphimorphia; Didelphidae. The record is from RNAcentral.